RNAcentral lists this ribosomal RNA (387 nucleotides) under uncultured bacterium. Its description in RNAcentral is "bacterial SSU rRNA". It matches the Rfam family "Bacterial small subunit ribosomal RNA", at positions 30 to 419 of the family's 1533-position model. The record is from RNAcentral.
AUUGAACGCUGGCGGCAUGCCUUACACAUGCAAGUCGAACGGCAGCGGACCUUCGGGUGCCGGCGAGUGGCGAACGGGUGAGUAAUAUAUCGGAACGUACCUUUCAGUGGGGGAUAACGUAGCGAAAGUUACGCUAAUACCGCAUAUUCUGUGAGCAGGAAAGCAGGGGAUCGCAAGACCUUGCGCUGAUUGAGCGGCCGAUAUCAGAUUAGCUAGUUGGUGAGGUAAAGGCUCACCAAGGCGACGAUCUGUAGCGGGUCUGAGAGGAUGAUCAGCCACACUGGGACUGAGACACGGCCCAGACUCCUACGGGAGGCAGCAGUGGGGAAUUUUGGACAAUGGGGGCAACCCUGAUCCAGCCAUGCCGCGUGAGUGAAGAGGGCCUUC